Molecule: ribosomal RNA, 793 nt
Filed under: Escherichia coli
Lineage: Bacteria; Pseudomonadati; Pseudomonadota; Gammaproteobacteria; Enterobacterales; Enterobacteriaceae
Also listed under: 1 other name
Description: partial 23S ribosomal RNA
Rfam family: Bacterial large subunit ribosomal RNA
Source: RNAcentral
UGAAUAUGGGGGGACCAUCCUCCAAGGCUAAAUACUCCUGACUGACCGAUAGUGAACCAGUACCGUGAGGGAAAGGCGAAAAGAACCCCGGCGAGGGGAGUGAAAAAGAACCUGAAACCGUGUACGUACAAGCAGUGGGAGCACAGAGCAAUCUGUGUGACUGCGUACCUUUUGUAUAAUGGGUCAGCGACUUAUAUUCUGUAGCAAGGUUAACCGAAUAGGGGAGCCGAAGGGAAACCGAGUCUUAACUGGGCGUUAAGUUGCAGGGUAUAGACCCGAAACCCGGUGAUCUAGCCAUGGGCAGGUUGAAGGUUGGGUAACACUAACUGGAGGACCGAACCGACUAAUGUUGAAAAAUUAGCGGAUGACUUGUGGCUGGGGGUGAAAGGCCAAUCAAACCGGGAGAUAGCUGGUUCUCCCCGAAAGCUAUUUAGGUAGCGCCUCGUGAAUUCAUCUCCGGGGGUAGAGCACUGUUUCGGCAAGGGGGUCAUCCCGACUUACCAACCCGAUGCAAACUGCGAAUACCGGAGAAUGUUAUCACGGGAGACACACGGCGGGUGCUAACGUCCGUCGUGAAGAGGGAAACAACCCAGACCGCCAGCUAAGGUCCCAAAGUCAUGGUUAAGUGGGAAACGAUGUGGGAAGGCCCAGACAGCCAGGAUGUUGGCUUAGAAGCAGCCAUCAUUUAAAGAAAGCGUAAUAGCUCACUGGUCGAGUCGGCCUGCGCGGAAGAUGUAACGGGGCUAAACCAUGCACCGAAGCUGCGGCAGCGACGCUUAUGCGUUGUUGGGUA